CCUACGGGAGGCAGCAGUGGGGGAUAUUGGACAAUGGGGGGAACCCUGAUCCAGCGACGCCGCGUGAGUGAAGAAGUAUUUCGGUAUGUAAAGCUCUGUCAGCAGGGAAGAAAGAAAUGACGGUACCUGACCAAGAAGCCCCGGCUAACUACGUGCCAGCAGCCGCGGUAAUACGUAGGGGGCAAGCGUUAUCCGGAAUUACUGGGUGUAAAGGGAGCGUAGACGGUUAAGUAAGUCUGGAGGGAAAGGCCGGGGGCCAACCCCGGGACUGCUCUGGAAACUAUUGAACUUGAGUGCAGGAGAGGUAAGCGGAAUUCCUAGUGUAGCGGUGAAAUGCGUAGAUAUUAGGAGGAACACCAGUGGCGAAGGCGGCUUACUGGACUGUAACUGACGUUGAGGCUCGAAAGCGUGGGGAGCAAACAGGAUUAGAUACCCCUGUAGUC
RNAcentral lists this ribosomal RNA (443 nucleotides) under uncultured bacterium. Its description in RNAcentral is "partial 16S ribosomal RNA". It matches the Rfam family "Bacterial small subunit ribosomal RNA", at positions 338 to 795 of the family's 1533-position model. The record is from RNAcentral.